RNAcentral lists this ribosomal RNA (1119 nucleotides) under Vibrio sp. 8416M. RNAcentral's name for it is "bacterial SSU rRNA". It matches the Rfam family "Bacterial small subunit ribosomal RNA", at positions 379 to 1491 of the family's 1533-position model. The record is from RNAcentral. Lineage: Bacteria; Pseudomonadati; Pseudomonadota; Gammaproteobacteria; Vibrionales; Vibrionaceae.
CAGCCUGAGCAGCCAUGCCGCGUGUGUGAAGAAGGCCUUCGGGUUGUAAAGCACUUUCAGUCGUGAGGAAGGUAGUGUAGUUAAUAGCUGCAUUAUUUGACGUUAGCGACAGAAGAAGCACCGGCUAACUCCGUGCCAGCAGCCGCGGUAAUACGGAGGGUGCGAGCGUUAAUCGGAAUUACUGGGCGUAAAGCGCAUGCAGGUGGUUUGUUAAGUCAGAUGUGAAAGCCCGGGGCUCAACCUCGGAAUAGCAUUUGAAACUGGCAGACUAGAGUACUGUAGAGGGGGGUAGAAUUUCAGGUGUAGCGGUGAAAUGCGUAGAGAUCUGAAGGAAUACCGGUGGCGAAGGCGGCCCCCUGGACAGAUACUGACACUCAGAUGCGAAAGCGUGGGGAGCAAACAGGAUUAGAUACCCUGGUAGUCCACGCCGUAAACGAUGUCUACUUGGAGGUUGUGGCCUUGAGCCGUGGCUUUCGGAGCUAACGCGUUAAGUAGACCGCCUGGGGAGUACGGUCGCAAGAUUAAAACUCAAAUGAAUUGACGGGGGCCCGCACAAGCGGUGGAGCAUGUGGUUUAAUUCGAUGCAACGCGAAGAACCUUACCUACUCUUGACAUCCAGAGAACUUUCCAGAGAUGGAUUGGUGCCUUCGGGAACUCUGAGACAGGUGCUGCAUGGCUGUCGUCAGCUCGUGUUGUGAAAUGUUGGGUUAAGUCCCGCAACGAGCGCAACCCUUAUCCUUGUUUGCCAGCGAGUAAUGUCGGGAACUCCAGGGAGACUGCCGGUGAUAAACCGGAGGAAGGUGGGGACGACGUCAAGUCAUCAUGGCCCUUACGAGUAGGGCUACACACGUGCUACAAUGGCGCAUACAGAGGGCGGCCAACUUGCGAAAGUGAGCGAAUCCCAAAAAGUGCGUCGUAGUCCGGAUUGGAGUCUGCAACUCGACUCCAUGAAGUCGGAAUCGCUAGUAAUCGUGGAUCAGAAUGCCACGGUGAAUACGUUCCCGGGCCUUGUACACACCGCCCGUCACACCAUGGGGAGUGGGCUGCAAAAGAAGUAGGUAGUUUAACCUUCGGGGGGACGCUUACCACUUUGUGGUUCAUGACUGGGGUGAAUCGUAA